This 751-nucleotide ribosomal RNA is filed under the name uncultured Neocallimastigales. Its description in RNAcentral is "partial large subunit ribosomal RNA". The record is from RNAcentral. Lineage: Eukaryota; Fungi; Neocallimastigomycota; Neocallimastigomycetes; Neocallimastigales.
UAUCUCUGUAGAGUCUGCAUAUCAAUAAGCGGAGGAAAAGCAGCGAAAGAAGCGCGCGGCGAACCGUAAAAGCUCAUGGAAGUACGCGGAAAAGAAGCGUCAGGCAAAGCGGCAGCAACAGCUUCAGGAGCAGAUUGCAACACAGGAAACAGCAUGAAUCCGGAUGGCCUGCGCUUGUGCAGGCCAUCCUUCUCAAAGACGGAAAUACUUCUCUCAGCAUUUCUGCAAAAUUCCAUUGACGAUAGGUCGGAUAACCGAUAUAAUGGUGGUAUAGGAGGCGGCGACAUGAAUCUUCGCACAUUGCUCAAUGAGCGCAAUAUGUCCAUGUACCGUCUGGCGCAGAUCAGCGGCAUCCCCAAGACCACCGUUAUUGAUAUUUGUUCCGGCAAAAGCUCCAUCGAGUGCUGCAACGCCAAAACGGUUUUUCGGCUUGCCAGGGCGCUGGAAUGCACCAUGGAAUACCUGAUGCAGCUGGAACACACCGGCUAUGACAGGACGACCGGAUUGCCCGUGAACGAAACCUAUCUUGAAAAGGGGCUUCCGCAGUACCUUGAACGCUCCCUCGCAGCCAUGAAAAAGUCCUGGCAGGUCGAGGACAGCGGCAGGCGUGAUCCUCAUUGGGAUUGCUAUUGGUGCGAGCUGAACGCCGACAUCAAUUCUGCGGAAACAGAGAGAAGCAUUUCCCGUGAACAGGCAGGAUAUCUGAGACGGAUAUACCUACGCUUAGGAUGUUGAGCGCAUGUCUCUCUCU